UAACACGUAGGGAACCUGCCUGCAUGAGCGGGAGAACUUCUGGAAACGGAAGCUGAUACCGGAUGAGCAAAGAGGAGGCAUCUUCUUUUUGGAAAAGGGGACAAGAGUCCCGCAUGCAGAUGGACCUGCGGUGCAUUAGCUGGUUGGAGAGGUAACGGCUCACCAAGGCGACGAUGCAUAGCCGGCCUGAGAGGGCGGACGGCCACACUGGGACUGAGACACGGCCCAGACUCCUGCGGGAGGCAGCAGUAGGGAAUUUUCGUCAAUGGGGGGAACCCUGAACGAGCAAUGCCGCGUGAGCGAGGAAGGUCUUCGGAUCGUAAAGCUCCGUUGCCGGGGACAAAAGGCAGAAAGAGUGGAAAGCUUUCUGAGUGAUGGUACCCGGCGAGGAAGUCACGGCUAACUACGUGCCAGCAGCCGCGGUAAUACGUAGGUGGCGAGCGUUAUCCGGAAUGAUUGGGCGUAAAGGGUGCGCAGGCGGCCGGGCAAGUCCGCAGUAAAAACUGGAGGCUCAACCUUCAGGGGCUGCGGAAACUGUCCGGCUGGAGAGCAGGAGAGGACGGUGGAACUCCAUGUGUAGCGGUAAAAUGCGUAGAUAUAUGGAAGAACACCGGUGGCGAAGGCGGCCGUCUGGCCUGCAUCUGACGCUGAGGCACGAAAGCGUGGGGAGCAAAUAGGAUUAGAUACCCUAGUAGU
This 696-nucleotide ribosomal RNA is filed under the name uncultured bacterium. Its description in RNAcentral is "bacterial SSU rRNA". It matches the Rfam family "Bacterial small subunit ribosomal RNA", at positions 111 to 794 of the family's 1533-position model. The record is from RNAcentral.